UACGUAGGGUGCAAGCGUUGUCCGGAAUUAUUGGGCGUAAAGAGCUUGUAGGCGGUUUGUCGCGUCUGCUGUGAAAUUUCGGGGCUCAACCCCGGACUUGCAGUGGGUACGGGCAGACUAGAGUGUGGUAGGGGAGACUGGAAUUCCUGGUGUAGCGGUGAAAUGCGCAGAUAUCAGGAGGAACACCGGUGGCGAAGGCGGGUCUCUGGGCCGAAAUUGACGCUGAGGAGCGAAAGCGUGGGGAGCAAACGGG
This 253-nucleotide ribosomal RNA is filed under the name uncultured bacterium. RNAcentral describes it as "partial 16S ribosomal RNA". It matches the Rfam family "Bacterial small subunit ribosomal RNA", at positions 524 to 776 of the family's 1533-position model. The record is from RNAcentral.